UACAGGGGGUGCAAACGUUGCUCGGAAUUACUGGGCGUAAAGGGCGCGUAGGCGGACAGUUUAGUCAGAGGUGAAAGCCCAGGGCUCAACCUUGGAAUUGCCUUUGAUACUGGCUGUCUUGAGUUCGGGAGAGGUGAGUGGAAUGCCGAGUGUAGAGGUGAAAUUCGUAGAUAUUCGGCGGAACACCAGUGGCGAAGGCGACUCACUGGCCCGAUACUGACGCUGAGGCGCGAAAGCGUGGGGAGCAAACAGG
Molecule: ribosomal RNA, 253 nt
Filed under: uncultured bacterium
Lineage: Bacteria
Description: partial 16S ribosomal RNA
Rfam family: Bacterial small subunit ribosomal RNA
Source: RNAcentral